UACUUAAAUCUGCUCUUUGAGGACAAAGUGGGAUUUUUUUUAUUCUCAUUCUUUUCCAUUUAAGAUGGAAUAACAUUGACAUAAUACUGUUGUGGUUUUUGUACUUGACGGCAUUUAGGAGCGGGGACAUUUUUCCACUCCACUGCUGUAUCUGAAUGCUUGUCGUAAAGAUACGCAGGCUUGUUUAUCAAGAAGUGUGCUCUGCUUCCUGGACUAGGACAGUAAAUUCACAGGGAUUUUCUCUACUUAUGACCAUUAAAACUAUGCACAUGACUGAUUCGAAAUGAAUCCCUGGAGAUACUGACUCUUGUUCAUCGAGAAAAGUGAAUUAUCCUGGAUAAGUGAACUACUGGGACUAGUACAGUAUUGAAUUGGACUUGGACAGCAAGAUAUCAUCUUACAGCCUGCCUCCUUGUCAUUUCUAGAACUCUCCAGUGACUGAGGCCCAAGUAUCUAGAGAAGAUGACAGAGGAUUGCGCCAGGAGAAUGGUUGUAAUGACAGAUCACCUGUGGAACUGACUCAUAUGCUUCAGAAGCAGGUCCAAUAUUUUAACCACCUGUUUUUAUGUGGGCCUCCAAUGCAUCAGAGACUGAGGAGAAGAAUUCGAAGUUAUUAAAGUUGCCGAACCUCCGAACUGAAUAUCUACAUUGCAGGAAGUGAUGAAUGUUACGCAAAGUUGCUGCAUCAGCUAGUUUGAAUUUGGCAUACUGCUU
This is a long non-coding RNA of Lingula anatina, 714 nucleotides long. NCBI's taxonomy places the organism in Eukaryota, Metazoa, Brachiopoda, Lingulata, Lingulida, Lingulidae. The record is from RefSeq and is a predicted model, not a curated record.